UAAUAGCGUAUAUUAAAGUUGUUGCAGUUAAAAAGCUCGUAGUCGGAUGUCGGGCUCGGAGAGGCUGUCGGCCUACGGUCGGACGGCAACUCCGGGCCUUUCUGCCUGGGGAUCCUACUCUACUUAAUUGUAGGGUAGUGGGACGCAGGCCGUUUACUUUGAAAAAAUUAGAGUGUUCAAAGCAGGCCUACGCUUGAAUACAUUAGCAUGGAAUAAUGGAAUAGGACUUUGGUCUUAUUUGUUGGUUUAUGGGACCGAAGUAAUGAUUAACAGGGACAGUUGGGGCCGUUUAUAUUUCGUUGUCAGAGGUGAAAUUCUUGGAUUUACGAAAGAUAAACUUCUGCGAAAGCAUUCGGCAAGGAUGUUUUCAUUG
Molecule: ribosomal RNA, 373 nt
Filed under: uncultured eukaryote
Lineage: Eukaryota
Description: partial 18S ribosomal RNA
Rfam family: Eukaryotic small subunit ribosomal RNA
Source: RNAcentral